RNAcentral lists this ribosomal RNA (418 nucleotides) under uncultured bacterium. RNAcentral's name for it is "bacterial SSU rRNA". It matches the Rfam family "Bacterial small subunit ribosomal RNA", at positions 355 to 776 of the family's 1533-position model. The record is from RNAcentral.
UGGGGAAUAUUGGACAAUGGGCGAAAGCCUGAUCCAGCAAUGCCGCGUGUGUGAAGAAGGCCUUCGGGUUGUAAAGCACUUUAGUGGGGGAAGAAAGGUGCGCAAGCAUUUUGACGGUACCCCAAGAAUAAGCACCGGCUAACUCUGUGCCAGCAGCCGCGGUAAUACAGAGGGUGCGAGCGUUAAUCGGAAUGACUGGGCGUAAAGGGCGCGUAGGUGGAUGUGUGUGUUGGAUGUGAAAGCCCCGGGCUUAACCUGGGAAUUGCAUACAAAACUGCACAUCUAGAGUAGAGCAGAGGUAAGUGGAAUUUCCGGAGUAGCGGUGAAAUGCGUAGAUACCGGAAGGAACACCAGUGGCGAAGGCGACUUACUGGGCUCAAACUGACACUGAGGCGCGAAAGCGUGGGGAGCAAACAGG